UGGCUGUAGCCAUGUAGAAACGUCAAAUACCAUGUACAAACGUCAAAUAACGGCUCAUUCCAUCACCUAUAUUUAGCAAACUACUGUAGCACAAAAGCCGCCAGUGCAAUGUCCCGAGUGGGAUUAUUGUUUUUAUCUAAUACAUUUGCAAACAUUUCUAAAAACCUGUUUUAAGCUUUGACAUAUGGCUGCUAUUAAAUGGGUAGAUAGUUCAAUAGUAAUAUCCUCUAAAACGCUACGGUGACAAACAAACUCUGCUGCCCUGUUUCCAAUCGUCCACAUGGCUGGGAGAACCUAUUCAAGUAAGUAAGUACAUACAUUUCGAAAAUAACUCUGUAUUAUUAGCUAAUUUGCUACAGUGCAGGCUAACUCAAAUGAGCUAGCUAGUCGGUUAGCUACCUAGCCAUCUUCACAUACUGUAUAGAUAGCUCGCUAAGUGAAUUAAAUAUCACCAUCUACCUAACGUCAUAUUAGCUAGCUAUCUUGAUGUAUUUAUCGCUGUAAAAAAACAAACUCAAAAUGCAUUCGUAGGUAGCUAGCUAACAGCCAUGGAAGACGGUGAAAGGAUAGCAGCCCCAACUGUCAGUGAAAGUAACGUUAGGCUAUUCUGAAUAGGAUAUGUACUUUUGUGUAGUUCCUGUCCCAAGAAGUGAGGAUGGAUAUAAUAGCAACAUAAUAUUCAGUGUGGUGUAAUUUGACUACAAUGAAGUUUGUUUCUUGUGAGGUUUUCUGUCCUCAGAUAAAGAGAGCUAUGAAAGCCUGUCUACAUAUGACGAGGUCCCAAAUGAAGAGCAGUGGUUCUCAGUCCCGGGGACUCAAAGCGGUGCACAUUUUUGUUUUUGCCUUAGCACUGCACAGCUGAUUCAAAUGACCAACUCAUCAUCAAGCUUCAAAUGAUACCUUGUAACUGGAUAUUCCUUCAAAACGAUUGCCUACAGUUAAUGUGUAGGGCACAGCAAGGUUGGGUGACUAGGGCCAUCUGGGACUGCCUGCGGGAGGAAUUCAGGUGUGUGAAGGAGCAAUUCAGGUGUGUGAAGGCUACCUGUGUCCUGCAUAACUUCAUGAGGAUAGACACAAGGACCAGGAGGGGAUCUGCAGCUCCCCGCCGUGUGCCAGAGGAAAAGUCUGCUGCUCUGCAGGAUGUUUAAGGAUGGGGUCCAACAAUGCAGCAAGAGAGGCAAUCUGUGUGCAGGAGAUCUUCACCUCCUACUUCUUUCGAAGAGGGUGCUGUUCCCUGGCAACACCAUAGACAACACUAUGCACAACCAAAGGCUCUUUUAAGAGCCAUUCACAUUGAAAUAAGAGUAUUCUUCCAUUUACUUAGCUAUGUCAACUGCAGUUAUUCAAUUCCCAGUUUCUCUCCCUUUGAUUUCUACUUCUCAGGUGAGGGUGCUGUUUAGGUAAGGGUGUGAUGUUUGUACAAAAACAAAACAGGCUAUUUUAAAUCACCUAUAUUGAAAAAAUGUAGAACAAUUAGACACCCUAUAACCCACACAUACACACUCAUGUAUCAAUCUGAUUGAUGGAUUGUGUUGUGCAGUAAGCAAUCUCAGGUGUAUAACUGUGGCUCCUUCCACCUUCAAAGAAUAGGCAAGAGUGCCAACUAUAGAGAAUAAUAAGACACUUAAUUAUUUCUAUAACUACGCUAUAUUGUUUGUUAUUGUGUUUCCGUUCAUGUGUUUCAGCAUAAAGUACUCUGCAGCCACUUAGUGUGGUGUGGACACUAGGUGAGGCCACACACAGAUUCCUGUUGAAGACUGUCACUUUAACUACCUUAUUUCCUCAAUAAAUAGUCUCUCUCCAUCACUUCAUCCCUCUCUCCUCUUCUCCCUAAAUCCUAUAGGUUAUAUCAGCUGUGUCGGUGAACCCCUCCCACAUCUGAACUGGCUACAUAGAAGGCACUUGGUCAGGUCAACAAGAAGUAUUAUUAAAGAGAUGUUUUACAUUGAAAUACAGAUAGAGAUGUAGUUGUCCCAGAGUUAAUGAUCCAAGAUAUGUUUUGAUGUGAGAGAGGAUGCCAACUUCCAGUCCCAUCAUCGCCACCUCAUCCGCUCUUAAGAUAACCUUCGGGCCGACUAGAGACACUUGUGCAAUUGUGAUGAACUGAGAGAAUAUUUGGGUAGCAAUGAUUCAUUAAACUAACCUCUUUCCCUUUGUAUUUUACACCUCUCACCACCUCUUUCUUCCUCUGUUUUAUAAUGUACAACAGAUGUACAUUGAAGUACAGAUUGAACUUGCAUGUAUAAUAUUACAAAUAUAUUUAUGCAUGCACUUGGAUAAUGAACUUCUUUCAAUAAAGUGUCACAUUCUCUACGGGUUGAAA
Oncorhynchus masou masou (cherry salmon) is the source of this 2323-nucleotide long non-coding RNA. RefSeq lists it as uncharacterized. Lineage: Eukaryota; Metazoa; Chordata; Actinopteri; Salmoniformes; Salmonidae. The record is from RefSeq and is a predicted model, not a curated record. The transcript is spliced from 3 exons.